This 964-nucleotide ribosomal RNA is filed under the name Synechococcus sp. UPOC/S4. RNAcentral describes it as "bacterial SSU rRNA". It matches the Rfam family "Bacterial small subunit ribosomal RNA", at positions 484 to 1446 of the family's 1533-position model. The record is from RNAcentral. Lineage: Bacteria; Bacillati; Cyanobacteriota; Cyanophyceae; Synechococcales; Synechococcaceae.
GAAUAAGCCACGGCUAAUUUCCGUGCCAGCAGCCGCGGUAAUACGGGAGUGGCAAGCGUUAUCCGGAAUUAUUGGGCGUAAAGCGUCCGCAGGCGGCCUUGUAAGUCUGUCGUUAAAGCGUGGAGCUUAACUCCAUUUAAGCGAUGGAAACUACAAGGCUUGAGUGUGGUAGGGGCAGAGGGAAUUCCCGGUGUAGCGGUGAAAUGCGUAGAUAUCGGGAAGAACACCAGUGGCGAAGGCGCUCUGCUGGGCCAUAACUGACGCUCAUGGACGAAAGCCAGGGGAGCGAAAGGGAUUAGAUACCCCUGUAGUCCUGGCCGUAAACGAUGAACACUAGGUGUCGGGGGAAUCGACCCCCUCGGUGUCGUAGCUAACGCGUUAAGUGUUCCGCCUGGGGAGUACGCACGCAAGUGUGAAACUCAAAGGAAUUGACGGGGGCCCGCACAAGCGGUGGAGUAUGUGGUUUAAUUCGAUGCAACGCGAAGAACCUUACCAGGGUUUGACAUCCUGCGAAUCCCUUGGAAACGAGGGAGUGCCUUCGGGAGCGCAGAGACAGGUGGUGCAUGGCUGUCGUCAGCUCGUGUCGUGAGAUGUUGGGUUAAGUCCCGCAACGAGCGCAACCCACGUCUUUAGUUGCCAGCAUUCAGUUGGGCACUCUAGAGAGACCGCCGGUGAUAAACCGGAGGAAGGUGUGGAUGACGUCAAGUCAUCAUGCCCCUUACAUCCUGGGCUACACACGUACUACAAUGCUACGGACAAAGGGUUGCAAGCUCGCGAGAGUUAGCUAAUCCCAUAAACCGUGGCUCAGUUCAGAUCGUAGGCUGCAACUCGCCUACGUGAAGGAGGAAUCGCUAGUAAUCGCAGGUCAGCAUACUGCGGUGAAUACGUUCCCGGGCCUUGUACACACCGCCCGUCACACCAUGGAAGUUGGCCAUGCCCGAAGUCGUUACUCCAACCCUUGUGG